GACGAACGCUGGCGGCGUGCUUAAUACAUGCAAGUCGAGCGAACAGAUGCGGAGCUUGCUCCUCUGACGUUAGCGGAGGAGGGGUGAGUAACACGUGGAUACCGUACCUAUAAGAGUGAGAUAACCUCGGAACAGCGGCGCUAAUCCGGGAUAAUAUAUUGAACCGCAUGGUUCGCUAGUGAAUGACGGUUUUGCUGUCACUUAUAGAUGGAUCCGAGCCGGAUUAGCGAGUUGGUACGGUAACGGCUUUCCACGGCAACGAUGCUUAGCCGACCGGAAAGAGGGAUAGACUACAUUGGAAGUGAGACUGGGCCCAGACGCCUGCGGUAGGCCGCAGUACGGAAUCGUCCGCAAUGGGGGAGAGCCUGACAGAGCAACGCGGCGUGAGUGAUGAAGGUCUUCGGAGCGGAAAGCUCUGUUAUGAGUGGAGAACAAAUGUGUAAUUAACCGUGCCGGUAUUGACGGUACCGGAUCAAAAAGCCACGGCUAACUACGUG
RNAcentral lists this ribosomal RNA (497 nucleotides) under uncultured bacterium. Its description in RNAcentral is "partial 16S ribosomal RNA". It matches the Rfam family "Bacterial small subunit ribosomal RNA", at positions 28 to 507 of the family's 1533-position model. The record is from RNAcentral.